AGAUUAAGUUAUUAAGGGCGCACGGUGGAUGCCUUGGCACUAGAAGCCGAUGAAGGACGUUACUAACGACGAUAUGCUUUGGGGAGCUGUAAGUAAGCUUUGAUCCAGAGAUUUCCGAAUGGGGAAACCCAGCAUGAGUUAUGUCAUGUUAUCGAUAUGUGAAUACAUAGCAUAUCAGAAGGCACACCCGGAGAACUGAAACAUCUUAGUACCCGGAGGAAGAGAAAGAAAAUUCGAUUCCCUUAGUAGCGGCGAGCGAAACGGGAAGAGCCCAAACCAACAAGCUUGCUUGUUGGGGUUGUAGGACACUCUAUACGGAGUUACAAAGGACGACAUUAGACGAAUCAUCUGGAAAGAUGAAUCAAAGAAGGUAAUAAUCCUGUAGUCGAAAAUGUUGUCUCUCUUGAGUGGAUCCUGAGUACGACGGAGCACGUGAAAUUCCGUUGGAAUCUGGGAGGACCAUCUCCUAAGGCUAAAUACUCUCUAGUGACCGAUAGUGAACCAGUACCGUGAGGGAAAGGUGAAAAGCACCCCGGAAGGGGAGUGAAAUAGAACCUGAAACCGUGUGCUUACAAGUAGUCAGAGCCCGUUAAUGGGUGAUGGCGUGCCUUUUGUAGAAUGAACCGGCGAGUUACGAUUUGAUGCAAGGUUAAGCAGUAAAUGUGGAGCCGUAGCGAAAGCGAGUCUGAAUAGGGCGUUUAGUAUUUGGUCGUAGACCCGAAACCAGGUGAUCUACCCUUGGUCAGGUUGAAGUUCAGGUAACACUGAAUGGAGGACCGAACCGACUUACGUUGAAAAGUGAGCGGAUGAACUGAGGGUAGCGGAGAAAUUCCAAUCGAACCUGGAGAUAGCUGGUUCUCUCCGAAAUAGCUUUAGGGCUAGCCUCAAGUGAUGAUUAUUGGAGGUAGAGCACUGUUUGGACGAGGGGCCCCUCUCGGGUUACCGAAUUCAGACAAACUCCGAAUGCCAAUUAAUUUAACUUGGGAGUCAGAACAUGGGUGAUAAGGUCCGUGUUCGAAAGGGAAACAGCCCAGACCACCAGCUAAGGUCCCAAAAUAUAUGUUAAGUGGAAAAGGAUGUGGCGUUGCCCAGACAACUAGGAUGUUGGCUUAGAAGCAGCCAUCAUUUAAAGAGUGCGUAAUAGCUCACUAGUCGAGUGACACUGCGCCGAAAAUGUACCGGGGCUAAACAUAUUACCGAAGCUGUGGAUUGUCCUUUGGACAAUGGUAGGAGAGCGUUCUAAGGGCGUUGAAGCAUGAUCGUAAGGACAUGUGGAGCGCUUAGAAGUGAGAAUGCCGGUGUGAGUAGCGAAAGACGGGUGAGAAUCCCGUCCACCGAUUGACUAAGGUUUCCAGAGGAAGGCUCGUCCGCUCUGGGUUAGUCGGGUCCUAAGCUGAGGCCGACAGGCGUAGGCGAUGGAUAACAGGUUGAUAUUCCUGUACCACCUAUAAUCGUUUUAAUCGAUGGGGGGACGCAGUAGGAUAGGCGAAGCGUGCGAUUGGAUUGCACGUCUAAGCAGUAAGGCUGAGUAUUAGGCAAAUCCGGUACUCAUUAAGGCUGAGCUGUGAUGGGGAGAAGACAUUGUGUCUUCGAGUCGUUGAUUUCACACUGCCGAGAAAAGCCUCUAGAUAGAAAAUAGGUGCCCGUACCGCAAACCGACACAGGUAGUCAAGAUGAGAAUUCUAAGGUGAGCGAGCGAACUCUCGUUAAGGAACUCGGCAAAAUGACCCCGUAACUUCGGGAGAAGGGGUGCUCUUUAGGGUUAACGCCCAGAAGAGCCGCAGUGAAUAGGCCCAAGCGACUGUUUAUCAAAAACACAGGUCUCUGCUAAACCGUAAGGUGAUGUAUAGGGGCUGACGCCUGCCCGGUGCUGGAAGGUUAAGAGGAGUGGUUAGCUUCUGCGAAGCUACGAAUCGAAGCCCCAGUAAACGGCGGCCGUAACUAUAACGGUCCUAAGGUAGCGAAAUUCCUUGUCGGGUAAGUUCCGACCCGCACGAAAGGCGUAACGAUUUGGGCACUGUCUCAACGAGAGACUCGGUGAAAUCAUAGUACCUGUGAAGAUGCAGGUUACCCGCGACAGGACGGAAAGACCCCGUGGAGCUUUACUGUAGCCUGAUAUUGAAAUUCGGCACAGCUUGUACAGGAUAGGUAGGAGCCUUUGAAACGUGAGCGCUAGCUUACGUGGAGGCGCUGGUGGGAUACUACCCUAGCUGUGUUGGCUUUCUAACCCGCACCACUUAUCGUGGUGGGAGACAGUGUCAGGCGGGCAGUUUGACUGGGGCGGUCGCCUCCUAAAAGGUAACGGAGGCGCUCAAAGGUUCCCUCAGAAUGGUUGGAAAUCAUUCAUAGAGUGUAAAGGCAUAAGGGAGCUUGACUGCGAGACCUACAAGUCGAGCAGGGUCGAAAGACGGACUUAGUGAUCCGGUGGUUCCGCAUGGAAGGGCCAUCGCUCAACGGAUAAAAGCUACCCCGGGGAUAACAGGCUUAUCUCCCCCAAGAGUUCACAUCGACGGGGAGGUUUGGCACCUCGAUGUCGGCUCAUCGCAUCCUGGGGCUGUAGUCGGUCCCAAGGGUUGGGCUGUUCGCCCAUUAAAGCGGUACGCGAGCUGGGUUCAGAACGUCGUGAGACAGUUCGGUCCCUAUCCGUCGUGGGCGUAGGAAAUUUGAGAGGAGCUGUCCUUAGUACGAGAGGAUCGGGAUGGACAUACCUCUGGUGUACCAGUUGUCGUGCCAACGGCAUAGCUGGGUAGCUAUGUGUGGACGGGAUAAGUGCUGAAAGCAUCUAAGCAUGAAGCCCCCCUCAAGAUGAGAUUUCCCAACUUCGGUUAUAAGAUCCCUCAAAGAUGAUGAGGUUAAUAGGUUCGAGGUGGAAGCAUGGUGACAUGUGGAGCUGACGAAUACUAAUCGAUCGAAGACUUAAUCAAAUU
RNAcentral lists this ribosomal RNA (2927 nucleotides) under Staphylococcus aureus. RNAcentral describes it as "bacterial LSU rRNA". It matches the Rfam family "Bacterial large subunit ribosomal RNA". The record is from RNAcentral. Lineage: Bacteria; Bacillati; Bacillota; Bacilli; Caryophanales; Staphylococcaceae.